This 1403-nucleotide ribosomal RNA is filed under the name uncultured bacterium. RNAcentral's name for it is "partial 16S ribosomal RNA". It matches the Rfam family "Bacterial small subunit ribosomal RNA". The record is from RNAcentral.
UUAGAGUUUGAUCCUGGCUCAGGAUGAACGCUAGCGGCAGGCUUAACACAUGCAAGUCGAGGGGCAGCGGGAGAUGUGCUUGCACAUUUUGCCGGCGACCGGCGCACGGGUGCGUAACGCGUAUGCAACCUACCCAUAACAGGGGGAUAACACUGAGAAAUUGGUACUAAUACCCCGUAAUAUUAUGAAAGGCAUCUUUUAUAGUUGAAAGUUCCGGCGGUUGUGGAUGGGCAUGCGUUGUAUUAGCUAGUUGGUGGGGUAACGGCUCACCAAGGCGACGAUACAUAGGGGGACUGAGAGGUUAACCCCCCACAUUGGUACUGAGACACGGACCAAACUCCUACGGGAGGCAGCAGUGAGGAAUAUUGGUCAAUGGACGCAAGUCUGAACCAGCCAUGCCGCGUGCAGGAUGACGGCUCUAUGAGUUGUAAACUGCUUUUGUAUGAGGGUAAAAUUAGGUACGUGUACCUAACUGCAAGUAUCAUACGAAUAAGGAUCGGCUAACUCCGUGCCAGCAGCCGCGGUAAUACGGAGGAUCCAAGCGUUAUCCGGAUUUAUUGGGUUUAAAGGGCGUGUAGGCGGAGGUGCAAGUUGGGAGUGAGAUCCCGGGGCUCAACCCCGGAACUGCUUUCAAAACUGUACCCCUUGAGUGUCGGAGAGGCAAGCGGAAUUCCUAGUGUAGCGGUGAAAUGCGUAGAUAUUAGGAGGAACACCAGUGGCGAAGGCGGCUUGCUGGACGAUAACUGACGCUGAGGCGCGAAAGCGUGGGGAGCAAACAGGAUUAGAUACCCUGGUAGUCCACGCUGUAAACGAUGAAUACUAGGUGUGGGAGGACUGACCCCUUCCGUGCCGCAGUUAACACAAUAAGUAUUCCACCUGGGGAGUACGACCGCAAGGUUGAAACUCAAAGGAAUUGACGGGGGCCCGCACAAGCAGUGGAUUAUGUGGUUUAAUUCGAUGAUACGCGAGGAACCUUACCCGGGCUUGAAAGUUAGUGACGGACUUGGAAACAGGUCUUUCCUUCGGGACACGAAACUAGGUGCUGCAUGGUUGUCGUCAGCUCGUGCCGUGAGGUGUCGGCUUAAGUGCCUUAACGAGCGCAACCCUUGCUGUUAGUUGCCAUCAGGUAAUGCUGGGAACUCUAACAGGACUGCUACUGUAAGGUAGAGGAAGGUGGGGAUGACGUCAAAUCAGCACGGCCCUUACGUCCGGGGCGACACACGUGUUACAAUGGUCGGUACAGAGGGUUGCUACCUGGCGACAGGAUGCUAAUCUCAUAAAACCGAUCUCAGUUCGGAUCGGAGUCUGCAACUCGACUCCGUGAAGCUGGAUUCGCUAGUAAUCGCGCAUCAGCCAUGGCGCGGUGAAUACGUUCCCGGGCCUUGCACACACCGCCCGUCAAG